Molecule: ribosomal RNA, 1307 nt
Filed under: metagenome
Description: SSU rRNA
Rfam family: Eukaryotic small subunit ribosomal RNA
Source: RNAcentral
AUACCGGGCCUUUUUGGGCUUGGUAAUUGGAAUGAGGGAGAGUUAAACGGACCAUCGAGUAUCCAUUGGAGGGCAAGUCUGGUGCCAGCAGCUGCGGUAAUACCAGCUCCAAUAGCGUAUAUUAAAGCUGUUGCAGUUAAAAAGCUCGUAGUUGGACUUGUGUGCGCUGUCCGCGGGUGGCCUGCGCCCAAAAGGGCGUUUCGGUUCGGCCCCGGUGGCGCCUUGAAAUCUGCAGCUGGGGGGACGUUGGCCUUAACUGGUCGGCGACCGCACGCCGGCUGCUCGGUUACUGUGAGAAAAUUAGAGUGUUCAAGGCAAGCAUUGGGUGCAAUUGAAUACAUUAGCAUGGAAUAAUAAAAUAUGGCUCCUGCCGUGUUUUGUUGGUUUUGACUGGUGGGAGUAAUGAUUGAUAGGGACGGUUGGGGGUGCUAGUAUUGAGCGGCCAGAGGUGAAAUUCAUGGAUUCGCUCAAGACUAACUUAUGCGAAAGCAUUCACCAAGGACGUCCUCUUUAAUCAAGAACGAAAGUUGGGGGAUCGAAGACGAUCAGAUACCGUCGUAGUCUCAACCAUAAACUAUGUCGACUUGGGAUCGGCGGUAGUUUUUUCAUUAAGACACUGUCGGGACCACGGGAGAAAUCAAAGUGUCUGGACUCUGGGGGAAGUAUGGUCGCAAGGCUGAAACUUGAAGGAAUUGACGGAAGGGCACCACCAGGAGUGGAGCCUGCGGCUUAAUUUGACCCAACGCGGGGAAACUUACCAGGUCCAGAGAUGUAGAGGAUUGACAGAUUGAAGCUCUUUCUUGAUCACUUCGGUGGUGGUGCAUGGCCGUUCUUAGUUGGUGGAGUGAUUUGUCUGGUUAAUUCCGUUAACGAACGAGACCUCAGCCUGCUAGUGUAGUCGGCUGGAUUGCCUUUGGCGAUCCGUGAUUUCGACUUCUUAGAGGGACAAUCGACGCGCAGUCGAUGGAAGUUUGAGGCAAUAACAGGUCUGUGAUGCCCUUAGAUGUUCUGGGCCGCACGCGCGCUACACUGCUGGGCUCAGCGAGUUUUACUUGGCCGAGAGGCCCGGUUAAUCUUGUGAAAUCCCAGCGUGCUUGGGCUCGCCUCCUGCAACUGGAGGCGCCAACGAGGAAUUCCUAGUAGACGCAGGUCAUCAACCUGCAUCGAUUACGUCCCUGCCCUUUGUACACACCGCCCGUCGUCCCAUAAGAGUGAGGCAUCCGGUGAAUUCUCGGGAGAGCCUGGGCGUGGCCAGCAAUGGUCUGCUCGGGUUUGAACUUGCAUAAACUUGGUGCCUAUGAUUAGGG